This 165-nucleotide ribosomal RNA is filed under the name uncultured bacterium. Its description in RNAcentral is "partial 16S rRNA". It matches the Rfam family "Bacterial small subunit ribosomal RNA", at positions 355 to 511 of the family's 1533-position model. The record is from RNAcentral.
UAGGGAAUCUUCCACAAUGGGCGCAAGCCUGAUGGAGCAACACCGCGUGAGUGAAGAAGGGUUUCGGCUCGUAAAGCUCUGUUGUUAAAGAAGAACACGUAUGAGAGUGGAAAGUUCACACAGUGACGGUAACUUACCAGAAAGGGACGGCUAACUACGUGCCAA